GAUGAACGCUGGCGGCGUGCCUAAUACAUGCAAGUCGAGCGAACAGACGAGGAGCUUGCUCCUCUGACGUUAGCGGCGGACGGGUGAGUAACAAGUGGAUAACCUACUUAUAAGACUGGGAUAACUUCGGGAAACCGGAGCUAAUACCGGAUAAUAUAUUGAACCGCAUGGUUCAAUAGUGAAAGACGGUUUUGCUGUCACUUAUAGAUGGAUCCGCGCCGCAUUAGCUAGUUGGUAAGGUAACGGCUUACCAAGGCGACGAUGCGUAGCCGACCUGAGAGGGUGAUCGGCCACACUGGAACUGAGACACGGUCCAGACUCCUACGGGAGGCAGCAGUAGGGAAUCUUCGGCAAUGGGCGAAAGCCUGACGGAGCAACGCCGCGUGAGUGAUGAAGGUCUUCGGAUCGUAAAGCUCUGUUAUUGGGGAAGAACAAAUGUGUAAUUAACUAUGCACGUCUUGACGGUACCUAAUCAGAAAGCCACGGCUAACUACGUG
This 497-nucleotide ribosomal RNA is filed under the name uncultured bacterium. Its description in RNAcentral is "partial 16S ribosomal RNA". It matches the Rfam family "Bacterial small subunit ribosomal RNA", at positions 28 to 507 of the family's 1533-position model. The record is from RNAcentral.